GACGAACGCUGGCGGCGUGCUUAACACAUGCAAGUCGAACGGUGAAGGGACCGGUUUUUGCUGGUUCUGGAUGAGUGGCGAACGGGUGAGUAACACGUGAGCAACCUGCCCCCUUCUUCUGGAUAACCGCAUGAAAGUGUGGCUAAUACGGGAUAUUCUGCGCCUGCUGCAUGGUGGGUGUGGGAAAGAUAUUGUUUCGGUGGGGGAUGGGCUCGCGGCCUAUCAGCUUGUUGGUGGGGUGAUGGCCUACCAAGGCGGUGACGGGUAGCCGGCCUGAGAGGGUGGACGGUCACACUGGGACUGAGACACGGCCCAGACUCCUACGGGAGGCAGCAGUGGGGAAUAUUGCACAAUGGGCGCAAGCCUGAUGCAGCGACGCCGCGUGAGGGAUGGAGGCCUUCGGGUUGUAAACCUCUUUCGCCAGUGAAGCAGGCCUGUCCCUUUUGUGGGUGGGUUGACGGUAGCUGGAUAAGAAGCGCCGGCUAACUACGUG
Molecule: ribosomal RNA, 493 nt
Filed under: uncultured bacterium
Lineage: Bacteria
Description: partial 16S ribosomal RNA
Rfam family: Bacterial small subunit ribosomal RNA
Source: RNAcentral